This is a non-coding RNA of Lonchura striata (white-rumped munia), 820 nucleotides long. The record is from RefSeq and is a predicted model, not a curated record. NCBI's taxonomy places the organism in Eukaryota, Metazoa, Chordata, Aves, Passeriformes, Estrildidae.
GGUGUCAUCCCUAAAGAACAGAGUUUUCUUGUGAACUCAGUAACUGUGAUGUCUGCAAUCAGAUUAAUUAGCCACAUUUUCCUGAAAAAAGGCAUUUUACUGGGUACCUACAUUACAGUGUUCUGGACACAUACAUUCAUUCUCUUGUACUUACGAGAGAUGAAAACAAAUACCUUCUCUGACCUAUUGAAGUAAAAGUCUGUGUUUGGCUUUAAUGCCAGGAGCCAAAAUACUACAGAAGGUGGACUUCUGUAAUUGCGUAGCCAGAAUUAACUAUGCCUUAAAGUCAGCACUCUCUGGAUUACAGACUUGGGAUCUCAGGAUGAAAAUCACUGAGAGUUCAUUGUGUUUUUGUUGGCCUUCCCUGGACUGCAGUAAUGAACUGCACCAUGCACUGCAUGAGUGCUGAGAAUACUAACGAAAAAUGCUACAAGUGCCUCUUGGUGCUACUAUGUCAGCUUACAAAGAACCCUCUUGGGGCUAAUACUGCUUUUAGGGCAUGCUUAGUCCUCUUCAUGUGUCUGGAAUUCCACAUUACAGCUGAAUUUCCCAAAAGUAAUAAAUACUGCAUACAUAUGUAUAUUGGGCGCAUAUCCUUUGGUUUUUUUGUCAUAUCUGGUUUUACCCAGCUCUGAAACUUGCAUGCAUUUAAGGAUCAGUAAUUAACUAUUCAUCAUCUGAAUGUAUCUGAGAUCUCCUUUAAUUUCCUGUGCUUGUACUUUCAAGCCCUUUGUCAUCUUGUGCCUGAGCUACUCUAUACUACAUUGUUAUUCUAGUGUUGUAAAUAGUUUAUUCUGGAAUAAACUGUUAUUAUGCUACA